This 253-nucleotide ribosomal RNA is filed under the name uncultured bacterium. RNAcentral's name for it is "partial 16S ribosomal RNA". It matches the Rfam family "Bacterial small subunit ribosomal RNA", at positions 524 to 776 of the family's 1533-position model. The record is from RNAcentral.
GACGGAGGAUGCAAGCGUUAUCCGGAAUUAUUGGGCGUAAAGGGUACGUAGGCGGCUGGUCAAGUCUGGGGUCAAAGGCCACAGCUCAACUGUGGGAAGGCCCUGGAAACUGACAGGCUAGAGUGAGGUAGGGGUUGCGGGAAUUCCCGGUGUAGCGGUGAAAUGCGUAGAGAUCGGGAAGAACACCUGAGGCGGAAGCGCGCAACUGGGCCUCAACUGACACUGAGGGACGAAAGCUAGGGGAGCGAAUGGG